UAUUUAUAUGAGAGUUUGAUCCUGGCUCAGGAUGAACGCUGGCGGCGUGCCUAAUACAUGCAAGUCGAACGAGUUCUCGUUGAUGAU
Molecule: ribosomal RNA, 87 nt
Filed under: Lacticaseibacillus paracasei
Lineage: Bacteria; Bacillati; Bacillota; Bacilli; Lactobacillales; Lactobacillaceae
Description: Lactobacillus paracasei partial 16S ribosomal RNA
Rfam family: Bacterial small subunit ribosomal RNA
Source: RNAcentral